GAUGAAGAACGCAGCGAAAUGCGAUAAGUAGUGUGAAUUGCAGAAUUCAGUGAAUCAUCGAAUCUUUGAACGCACAUUGCGCCCCUUGGUAUUCCAUGGGGCAUGCCUGUUCGAGCGUCAUUUGUACCUUCAAGCUCUGCUUGGUGUUGGGUGUUUGUCUCGCCUCUGCGUGUAGACUCGCCUUAAAACAAUUGGCAGCCGGCGUAUUGAUUUCGGAGCGCGGUACAUCUCGCGCUUUGCACUCAUAACGACGACGUCCAAAAGUACAUUUUUACACUCUUGACCUCGGAUCAGGUAGGGAUACCCGCUGAACUUAAGCAUAUCAAUAAGCGGAGGA
RNAcentral lists this unclassified non-coding RNA (337 nucleotides) under soil metagenome. RNAcentral describes it as "partial contains 5.8S ribosomal RNA, internal transcribed spacer 2, and large subunit ribosomal RNA". The stretch from base 1 to 120 matches the Rfam family "5.8S ribosomal RNA", at positions 35 to 154 of the family's 154-position model. The record is from RNAcentral.